Molecule: ribosomal RNA, 305 nt
Filed under: uncultured bacterium
Lineage: Bacteria
Description: bacterial SSU rRNA
Rfam family: Bacterial small subunit ribosomal RNA
Source: RNAcentral
GUCCUACGGGGGGCAGCAGUGAGGAAUAUUGGUCAAUGGGCGGAAGCCUGAACCAGCCAAGUCGCGUGAGGGAAGAAGGCCCUGCGGGUCGCAGACCUCUUUGGACGGGGAGCAAGGCCGCCGACGUGUCGGCGGAAGGAGAGUACCCGGAGAAAAAGCAUCGGCUAACUCCGUGCCAGCAGCCGCGGUAAUACGGAGGAUGCGAGCGUUAUCCGGAUUUAUUGGGUUUAAAGGGUGCGUAGGCGGGCUUUUAAGUCAGCGGUAACAAUUCGGGGCUCAACCCCGUCCGGCCGUUGAAACUGGGG